UUCUUAUAAAUAACUCAAACGACGGUACAAUCAACAAAAUUCGCUGUGAAAUAUAUAUUAAUCCUAUUUAUGCUGCCACGAUUGCAGCCGAUCUUAGCCAAAAUGAUGCCCAUAAUGUUUGGCAGUUAUUAACCAAGUUCAAAUUUACACAACGGUAUCCUUGGCGCAAUGAAUAAAAUUCGUUGUGAAGUACACCAUAUGUGCUCUGGCACCAGCCAGAGCUACUGGAACAUGUAUCACUUUAUUAAUCCCCAAAAUUUUGUUCUUAUUAUCAACUUGCACACAACGGUAUCCUUGGUAUAAUACUUACGCAGGCCACAGCAAUUGGAAUUCAUGCCCACACUCGCCGAUUUAAAGUGAAGAAGAAACACAAAUAUCUGACAAGAAAGAAGGUACAUGGGCCAAGCGACGACUUUAAUGCACGUUUUAACGUUUGAAAUUUGCAUUUAUUUUCCAACUUUUAAUAAA
This is a long non-coding RNA of Drosophila serrata, 468 nucleotides long. RefSeq lists it as uncharacterized. The record is from RefSeq and is a predicted model, not a curated record. NCBI's taxonomy places the organism in Eukaryota, Metazoa, Arthropoda, Insecta, Diptera, Drosophilidae.